Long non-coding RNA from Bactrocera tryoni, 621 nucleotides. RefSeq lists it as uncharacterized. Lineage: Eukaryota; Metazoa; Arthropoda; Insecta; Diptera; Tephritidae. The record is from RefSeq and is a predicted model, not a curated record. The transcript is spliced from 5 exons.
UCAAAAUAUUCCUAGUUUGACACAGAGAUAGAUAUUUGUUAUGUAAGAACAUUAAUGAAAAUGUUCUAGAAUAUUCAUUUAUUUAUUUAAAAAUUGAAGAAUACAAAUAUAAAUAUUUUGAAAAUUACAAGAUCAAUCCUAUCCCGUUCCUGUUCAGAUCGAUCGACAGAAGGAAAAUGCCUCGCAAAUGUAUAUUAGGGUGUGGAGGCUCGUUACGGAUACACAAAUUUCCUGGGGAGCGAGAAAUGCCCAUAUGGCAGAACCUUAAAAUGUUGGAUAUAUGUACUCAUAUAUAUGUAACUUGAAGUGGUGGAUCGAAAUCAAUGAAACACUCAAUUUCCAAUUUUUGGAUCAUACGUUAUUUUGCAUAUUGGGUGCAUACAGAUAUAAUAAAUAAUUCAAUACAGUGAAAAAUUCAUAAACGAAUAAAGCCAAAAUUAAGCCGACCGACAUACAGUGGGAGAGUCUCUUAAUUACCUCCCCUGUGGAUCUACUUGUACAAACAGUACCCGUAUGUAUUUUUUUAUUUACAAAUAUUUGUUGAAACUGCUUUUAUUUCUUGAUAUGAAUAAUACUUUUGCGCUGCUUAAUUUUUUUGUACAGCUGGCUUGGUAUUUGUAC